RNAcentral lists this ribosomal RNA (413 nucleotides) under uncultured bacterium. Its description in RNAcentral is "bacterial SSU rRNA". It matches the Rfam family "Bacterial small subunit ribosomal RNA", at positions 28 to 487 of the family's 1533-position model. The record is from RNAcentral.
GACGAACGCUGGCGGCAGGCUUAACACAUGCAAGUCGAACGAAGGCUUCGGCCUUAGUGGCGCACGGGUGCGUAACGCGUGGGAAUCUGCCCUUGGGUUCGGAAUAACUCAGAGAAAUUUGAGCUAAUACCGGAUGAUGACGUAAGUCCAAAGAUUUAUCGCCCAAGGAUGAGCCCGCGUAAGAUUAGCUAGUUGGUGGGGUAAAGGCCUACCAAGGCGACGAUCUUUAGCUGGUCUGAGAGGAUGAUCAGCCACACUGGGACUGAGACACGGCCCAGACUCCUACGGGAGGCAGCAGUGGGGAAUAUUGGACAAUGGGCGAAAGCCUGAUCCAGCAAUGCCGCGUGAGUGAUGAAGGCCUUAGGGUUGUAAAGCUCUUUUACCAGGGAUGAUAAUGACAGUACCUGGAGAAU